Molecule: ribosomal RNA, 319 nt
Filed under: Microbacterium esteraromaticum
Lineage: Bacteria; Bacillati; Actinomycetota; Actinomycetes; Micrococcales; Microbacteriaceae
Description: bacterial LSU rRNA
Rfam family: Bacterial large subunit ribosomal RNA
Source: RNAcentral
UCUUAGUUAAAUUACUAAGGGCUAGUAACGGAUUCCUUGGAAAUGAUAGGCGAUGAAGGACGUGCUAAUCUGCGAUAAGUGUCGGGUAGUCGAUAAGAGACCUUGAUCCGGCAAUCUCCGAAUGUAGAAAUACAGUAGAAACUAAUCUUUCUACUAUUAUCACCUGAAUCCAUAGGGUGAUAAGGCAAACUUGGCGAAGUGAAACAUCUCAGUAGCCAAAGGAAAAGAAAACGAAGUGAUUCCCUAAGUAGUGGUGAGCGGAAGGGGAACAGGCCAAACCAGCACAAUAGAAUUGAGCUGGGGUUGUAGGACCUUGCAA